AGUGAUGAUAGUAAACAAAAACAUUUUAAAUUUUAUGAUUUUUACUUCUUCUUUAUACUGUAUCUUAUUGAUAACGGUUCCAGUCUCGACGCUGAAAACUACAAAAUCGCUCUACGAUAUGGCCGAUGAUUAUGAGGACGACAAAAAUUUUGCUAUUGCGAUUUCUGAAAAAGAUGGAAGGACGGCUGCCUAUUUACAUGGAAGAGAAUUCUUAGCUUUUGGACCGCUAUUGAAUUUUGUCCCGGAAGAAGAUUUGUACUAUGUUAAUAUGGGAGACCGUACCGUUCGAUCUUAUUUUGCUCGUUUCAGCGAAGACUUACACUUUCGGAAGUUUGGUAUAUUAGUAGCAGCUUAUAGACGUUAUUUUGGAAAUACCUGGUACUUAAAUUCAACCUCUGUAAACGAACUAGGCUACAUGAUAUGCGGAUUUCCACCAGAAGAGCUCAGAAAGAUUACCCCGGCGAUUAUGAGGGAUCUUAAAACAUCAGUUCUAGGAAAAUUGAAGAAAUGUAAUGAUAAACAAGUUCAGACUUUAUAUGAAUUAGCCAUACAGCCCGAAGUCUUUGGUGAGCCGUACAGAUGGUCGUCACAUGAAGUUAGCCGAAUGGGAUCAUUACUUAAAUGCAUUCCUGCAAAUCAACUAAGCUCUAUACAAUUAGAAGCAAUGCCAGCAAUAACAGAAGAAGUUAUUAAGCAAUUUCGUCAGCAAAAAUUGACGCAAUUCACGAAACAGCAAAUUAUGAAAAUGCAACCAUUGACACGGAGAAUUUAUAUACUAAGAGUACAGUUAUUAUCUAGUUUUGAUGUUAACGAACUAUCAAAACACGCUGCAGUUAAUAAUAAUGAAUCAGUACUUUUAUUAAUUGUAUGCUUUCUUUAUGUUAUGAAAAUAACACAUCUUAUACACUUACGCAAAUUAAUGGACAGAGGAUCUACAGGAAAGCUCCUCACGCGUGGUCUGGGCCGGAGCCGUCUAGGAAUUGUGAGGUGUUCAUCGGCCGCAUCCCACACGACUGCUUCGAGGACACGCUGGUGCCGCUCUUCCGGCAGGCCGGCGAGUUGUUCGAGUUCCGACUCAUGAUUAAUUUCUCGGGAUGGAACCGCGGGUACGCGUUCGCUAUGUAUACGACCGACGCGGAGGCGAGCAAUGCUAUACGAAUGUUCAACAACUACAUGAUCAGGCCCUCUUGGCAACUUGGUGUGUGCCCGUCCAUCAACAACUGCCGCAUCUUCAUCUCAC
Leguminivora glycinivorella is the source of this 1240-nucleotide RNA transcript. It is a transcript of the gene named probable RNA-binding protein 46, with no coding region annotated. The record is from RefSeq and is a predicted model, not a curated record. The transcript has 9 exons. Lineage: Eukaryota; Metazoa; Arthropoda; Insecta; Lepidoptera; Tortricidae.